CUCGCCUACCGCGCCUCCGCCUGCCCGCCCCCGCCGGCCAAGGCUGGGCUGCGGGAGGCGGCCGGGCGGCCCCGAGCUUCGCUAGGGCGACCAAAACAAAGGCAGCAUCCGGGGCUGGGUGGAUGCAAACAACCAUGAAAGACUGGGUUCUCGCUCUCCCCGGCUCUGCUGCUGCUGCUGCUGCUGCCGCCGCCGCCGCUGCUCCUCCUCCUCCUGCCGCCGCCGCGAGGGCUCCGCUGUGAGGGGGAAGCAGGGGCGCAGCUGCUGGGCGUGCAUCCGAAAGGUGAGAGCCAGAGAGCGAGCGGAGGGGGCGGGCAGGCCACGAAAAUGUCCUCGGCCGUGGGGCCCCGCGGUCCUCGCCCACCCACGGUGCCUCCCCCCAUGCAAGAGCUGCCCGACCUGAGCCACCUGACCGAAGAGGAGAGGAACAUUAUCAUGGCAGUGAUGGACCGGCAGAAAGAAGAGGAGGAAAAAGAAGAAGCCAUGCUCAAGUGUGUUGUCAGGGACAUGGCGAAGCCUGCUGCCUGCAAAACACCAAGAAAUGCUGAAAACCAGCCCCACCAACCUUCACCGAGAUUGCAUCAACAGUUUGAAAGCUAUAAGGAACAAGUGAGAAAAAUAGGGGAAGAAGCACGGCGUUACCAGGGCGAGCACAAAGACGAUGCUCCGACUUGUGGAAUCUGUCAUAAAACAAAGUUUGCUGAUGGGUGCGGUCAUCUCUGCUCCUAUUGUCGCACUAAGUUCUGUGCGCGCUGCGGAGGCCGCGUGUCUCUACGGUCAAACAACGAGGACAAAGUGGUUAUGUGGGUAUGCAAUUUAUGUCGAAAGCAACAAGAAAUCUUAACCAAAUCUGGGGCAUGGUUCUUUGGAAGUGGCCCUCAGCAGACAAGUCAGGAUGGAACCCUGAGUGAUACAGCUACAGGUGCUGGCUCUGAGGUACCAAGAGAAAAGAAAGCACGACUCCAAGAGCGAUCCCGGUCUCAGACACCCCUGAGCACAGCAGCUGCCUCCUCCCAGGAUGCUGCUCCUCCCAGCGCACCACCAGACAGGAGCAAAGGGGCUGAUCCCUCGCAGCAAGCCUUGGGGCCUGAACAGAAGCAGGCUUCAUCCAGGUCUAGAAGUGAACCUCCUAGAGAGAGAAAGAAGACCCCAGGGCUUUCCGAGCAGAAUGGCAAAGGAGCACUGAAGAGCGAGCGGAAACGCGUUCCAAAGACCUCAGCGCAGCCCGUGGAGGGGGCCGUCGAAGAACGGGAGCGCAAAGAAAGGCGGGAAAGCCGAAGGCUUGAGAAAGGGCUAUCACAGGAUUACCCAGACACGCCGGAAAAACGGGAUGAGGGCAAAGCGGCGGAUGAGGAAAAGCAAAGAAAAGAGGAGGACUAUCAGACCAGGUACCGCAGCGACCCGAACCUGGCUCGGUACCCGGUGAAACCGCCGCCUGAGGAGCAGCAGAUGCGCAUGCACGCCCGGGUGUCCCGCGCCAGGCACGAGCGGCGCCACAGCGACGUGGCGCUCCCGCGCACCGAGGCGGGCGCGGCGCUGGCGGAGGGCAAGGUCGGCAAACGCGCGCCGGCGGCGGCCAGGGCCUCGCCGCCGGACUCGCCGCGGGCUUACUCGGCUGAGAGGACUGCGGAGACCAGGGCGCCCGGCGCCAAGCAGCUAACGAACCACAGCCCGCCGGCGCCCAGACAUGGGCCGGUUCCCGCAGAAGCCCCGGAGCUCAAAGCCCAGGAGCCCCUCAGGAAGCAGAGCCGCCUGGACCCCAGCUCGGCAGUCCUCAUGCGGAAGGCCAAGCGCGAGAAGGUGGAGACCAUGCUGCGGAACGACUCUCUGAGCUCAGACCAGUCCGAGUCGGUGCGGCCGUCCCCGCCCAAGCCGCACCGGUCCAAGAGGGGCGGCAAGAAGCGGCAGAUGUCGGUGAGCAGCUCUGAGGAGGAGGGCGUGUCGACGCCCGAGUACACCAGCUGCGAAGACGUGGAGCUGGAGAGCGAGAGCGUCAGCGAGAAAGGUGAUUUGGAUUAUUACUGGUUGGAUCCUGCCACGUGGCAUAGCCGGGAGACAUCACCUAUUAGUUCGCAUCCUGUAACGUGGCAGCCAUCUAAAGAGGGGGACCGAUUAAUUGGACGUGUUAUUCUUAACAAGAGAACAACCAUGCCCAAAGACUCAGGUGCAUUGCUGGGUCUGAAAGUUGUUGGAGGAAAAAUGACUGACUUAGGACGACUUGGUGCUUUCAUCACCAAAGUAAAGAAGGGUAGCCUAGCAGAUGUAGUUGGACACCUAAGAGCAGGGGAUGAAGUUCUAGAAUGGAAUGGUAAACCCCUGCCGGGAGCUACAAAUGAAGAAGUUUACAACAUUAUUUUAGAAUCAAAAUCAGAACCUCAAGUUGAAAUUAUUGUUUCAAGGCCUAUUGGUGACAUUCCCCGGAUUCCUGAGAGCUCCCACCCUCCACUGGAGUCCAGUUCAAGUUCCUUUGAAUCUCAGAAGAUGGAAAGGCCUUCCAUUUCUGUUAUUUCUCCAACAAGUCCUGGAGCUCUAAAAGAUGCCCCACAAGUCUUACCAGGGCAACUUUCUGUGAAGUUGUGGUAUGAUAAAGUGGGACACCAGCUGAUUGUAAAUGUUCUGCAAGCAACAGAUCUACCUGCUAGAGUAGAUGGGCGUCCUCGAAAUCCCUAUGUAAAAAUGUAUUUUCUUCCAGAUAGAAGUGAUAAAAGUAAAAGGAGGACCAAAACAGUAAAGAAAAUACUAGAACCAAAAUGGAAUCAAACUUUUGUCUAUUCACAUGUACAUCGUAGAGAUUUUAGAGAACGAAUGUUAGAAAUAACUGUGUGGGACCAACCAAGAGUGCAAGAAGAAGAAAGUGAAUUUCUUGGAGAGAUCCUCAUAGAAUUGGAGACAGCGCUUUUAGAUGAUGAACCGCAUUGGUAUAAACUUCAGACACAUGAUGAGUCUUCACUACCUCUGCCUCAGCCAUCACCUUUCAUGCCAAGGCGACAUAUUCAUGGAGAAAGCUCUAGCAAAAAGCUACAAAGAUCUCAGCGAAUCAGUGAUAGUGACAUCUCAGAUUAUGAGGUUGAUGAUGGUAUUGGCGUAGUUCCUCCAGUAGGCUAUAGGUCUAGUGCUAGAGAAAGUAAAACUACAACAUUAACUGUGCCAGAACAGCAAAGAACAACUCAUCACCGCUCACGUUCAGUAUCUCCUCAUCGCGGCAAUGAUCAGGGAAAGCCGCGUUCACGUUUACCAAAUGUGCCAUUACAGAGGAGUUUAGAUGAAAUUCAUCCAACAAGAAGGUCACGUUCUCCAACCAGACACCAUGAUGCCUCCCGAAGUCCAGUUGAUCAUAGAACCAGAGAUGUGGAUAGUCAGUAUUUAUCAGAACAAGACAGUGAGCUUCUUAUGCUGCCCAGAGCAAAACGAGGACGAAGUGCAGAAUGCCUACAUACUACCAGGUAAAUACAGGGAUUUGGUAAUGGUGACUGUGUGUGAUGACUCUCUUUCCAUUCUAUUAUUCUUCCGUCUCUCCCUUAGUGGUAUUAUUACAAGCAGGUCAAAUAAAUUUCCCAAGUAUUUGAAAUUUGUUUUGUUUUAUAUUGAGGUUAUGGAAAAGGUUCCAAAUAUAUUUCAGUUCUGAUUCAGGCAGACUACUUUGCCAACUGUAGAUUCAAAAAUCCAGAGACCAGUGGGCCUCUCUGGGACUGUUUGCAUUCCUAAAACUGAGGAACCAGUUUCUGCAAUUAAAAUUCUAAAUGCUCACUGUGAGUGCCCCCAAGCUUCCCACACAUAUUCCUGUCUAGUCACAAGAGGUCUAAUCUGUGUAUGGCAGUGUCAUUGUUUCAUAAUUGUAAGUUUGCUCUGUUUUAGCCUUUUUUAUUUCCUUUUAGAAUUUAUUGUAGUUUAUAUUCUGUUUGCUUUUGAUAAAAUCUUUAACAGUUCACUUUUAAUGGCUGAGCUUCAGCUUCUUUCUUGAUGAAAAGUGAAGAUGUUCAACCUGAUCUUAACUAUCCUAGCCCAUCAGUUGUCAGAAAUGCUGCAGUACAAACUUUCCCACAAAGGCAUGUAACAAUAUGAAUGCCUCUUUAGAAGCGACAAAAGAUAUAAUUUUUGCUUCUAAAUUGGAGCUUAGAGCCUGAUGCUUUAUGUUAAUCUCAUUACAUCUUUAAUUUCAUAUCCAAAGUAAAACUUCUUACAGAUUACUCAUGGAACAUAUUCUAUAAAUAUUUAAUGUAUAUUUGAAAUGAAUAUAGAAGUUAAGGAAGUAGUAAGUCAGUGAAACAAACUAACACAUAAUAAUUGAACUCAAAUAUUUUAGCCAAUAAAAAGUAAGACGAAAGAGAAGGAAAGAGGUAUUACCGCAGUACUUGGGAUGCAAAGACAAAUUCAUGAUUUAUUAUGUCUAUGUGUAAUAUGUAGUUCUGCCCAAUAAUGCAAACAAAAUUGGGCUAAUAAAAAUUGUUUGACCUUUUUACAGUCUGAAGUUACACUACUCAUAACUACUGCCAUGUUUGCUUGGAGUGCCACAGGAAAAAAUCGAGGAAAUAUUAGUUCUGCUUGCUGAGAAAAAAAUGUAAAAUCACACAUAUUGUAAAAACCUACUGAAAGUCAAAGCAUGAACUAUCCAGGUUUAUUAUUACUUGUUCUUCUUGACAAACAGUUUCUUAAAAGAAUGGUUUAUUUACUAAUUCUGAAAGUUUUCUCACACUCCUCUUGAUGUGACUAAAGCUUCAAAAGAAAUAAAAAACAUGCACACAAAACAAACACAAAAAAAAUCCUUAUAUUUUAAGCUACUUAGUGUGUGCCUGGCACUCAGUGUGUGAAUAUUUCUAGGAUACUCACACCAGUGGUCUAAAUAUAAUAACUAAAAAUAUUUUUUCUUCCCCUUAUUUUGUACUUGUAAAAUAUUAUAUACUUAUAUAAUAUUAUAUAAUAGUUGCAUCAUUUUAUAUAAUCUUAUCCUUAAGAUUGGUGCUUUGCUAAUAAUUGUGAGCUCCACAAGUCCUAUUUAAUAGUCUCUGUAUGUUGACUUUGCAUUUCCUGAUUUAAGCAAAUAAUCAUAUUUGUAUGUAUACAAUUUAAAAAUAGAUGAGUAUUCAGCGAGGCAGAUAACGUCCUGUGGACAAGUACUACGACAAUAAGAUAGGGAAUGGAAGCUGAGCUAGCCAAAUGUGUCAGUGCGAAACAUAUGUCAACAGUGUCUUUUCUCCUUCCUGUCUUUCAUUCUCUAAUGUGUAAUGCUAAAAGUAUGGAGAUAGAGAUAACAUGAGUUCAAAAAUAUGUGCGUGUAUGUAUAUAUAAUCUCUUCUGUGUUUAUAUUCAUGUAUUUAUAAAAACAUUAAUUUAUAUCUGAAUAAAAAUGAAUUUCAAAAUGUGUACAUAUAAAUAACCACAACUUUAUAUGGAUAUAUCAAUAAUAUAGUUUGGUUUCAUAUAAACUAUGGACACUUAUUAUUUAUAUAACUAUCCAUGGCUAAAAUCUAAAGCUUUCAAAAUACAUCAUACCAUGUUCACUUAGGACUUUUAAAAAUAAAAUCUGAGGAUUUACUAGUCUCUAGUAAACAUAAGGAAAAUAACAUUUAUUUAAUAACAAGCACAGUGUUAAAUAUUUAAUGUACUUUGUCAAUUUCCUGACAGUAAUUAUAUGUUAUGAAUAUUAUUAACCUGAUUUUAGAGAUGAGGAAAAAAGCUAAGAAAGUUUAUUUGAUGACUAAUAAAGUAAGGAUUCAAAAUCAGGUCUAUUUGAUAUCUUCUGCUUAACUAGUUUUUCCAAAAAUAUGAAAACUUGUCCUAUGAGAUAUUUCACCAAUAAGAGUUUUUGUGAGUCAAAUACAUUUUGGAAACUUUGCAACUGAAAGUUUCUACCUUGAAAUUUAAUACACACAGCAUAUUAAAGUCAUGUUCUAAAGAAAUCUGUAUGUUUAGUUUCUUUUCUCCCAAAUUAUUUAAUUUCCCAACCUUUUUUUAGUAAAACGUGUCUCGAGGAAGUGGUAGUAUAGAGAAAAUGCUAUAGUUGCCUUACUGUAUCCUACUGUGUCCUAAAUAUUGUGUACAUGUUACCACACACCCCUGUUAAGUGGAAGUUAUUUCCCACAUUUUGUGGAUGUAGAAACAGGCUUGGAGACUUAAUCGAAUUAUCCAGGUCACACGCAAUAAGUGGCAAAGCCAAGGCAGGAACUUGAACAUUCAGACUAUAAAUUUUGUGCUAUUUUCUGGCUCUUUCCCAUUCUAUGUUGAUCCCAUUCUUGAAAAAAAAAAUCACUUUUGAAGCAAUGCUUAGAAAAGUUUUAUAGCAACCUAUUACUAAAGAUAUUUGCCUGAGGUUAGGAGUUGAAGACUCGACUGUCUAGAAAGGAGGCUAAAUCCUUAGUUUCAGUAAAAUUUGUCCUCAACUUGUACUUAAUAAGGAGGAAGCUGAAGCGGGCAGAUCACUUGAGGUCAGGAGUUAAGAGACCAGUGUGGCCAAUAUGGUGAAACCCCGUCUCUACUAAAAAACACACAACACACACACACCACACCACAACACACACACACCACACACACACACCACACACACACAAAUUAGGUGGGCAUGGUGGCAGGUGCUUGUAAUCCCAGCUACUUGGGAGGCUGAGAGAGGAGAUUUGCUUGAACACAGGAGGCAGAGGUUGCAGUGAGCCAAGAUCACACCAUAGCACUCCAGCCUAGACAACAAGAGUGAGACUCUGUCUCAAAAAAGAAAA
Molecule: small RNA, 6707 nt
Filed under: Pongo abelii (Sumatran orangutan)
Lineage: Eukaryota; Metazoa; Chordata; Mammalia; Primates; Hominidae
Description: retained intron
Source: RNAcentral